GAUGAACGCUGGCGGCGUGCCUAAUACAUGCAAGUCGAGCGAACAGACGAGGAGCUUGCUCCUCUGACGUUAGCGGCGGACGGGUGAGUAACACGUGGAUAACCUACCUAUAAGACUGGGAUAACUUCGGGAAACCGGAGCUAAUACCGGAUAAUAUAACGAACCGCAUGGUUCAAUAGUGAAAGACGGUUUUGCCGUCACUUAUAGAUGGAUCCGCUCCGCAUUAGCUAGUUGGUAAGGUAACGGCUUACCAAGGCAACGAUGCGUAGCCGACCUGAGAGGGUGAUCAGCCACACUGGAACUGAGACACGGUCCAGACUCCUACGGGAGGCAGCAGUAGGGAAUCUUCCGCAAUGGGCGAAAGCCUGACGCAGCCACGCCGCGUGAGUGAUGAAGGUCUUCGGAUCGUAAAACUCUUUUAUUGGGGAAGAACAAAAGUGUACGUAACUAUGCACGUCUUGACGGUACCUAAUCAGUAAGCCACGGCUAACUACGUG
This 497-nucleotide ribosomal RNA is filed under the name uncultured bacterium. RNAcentral describes it as "partial 16S ribosomal RNA". It matches the Rfam family "Bacterial small subunit ribosomal RNA", at positions 28 to 507 of the family's 1533-position model. The record is from RNAcentral.